GGAGGUCCCAAGCGUUGUUCGGAAUCACUGGGCGUAAAGGGUGCGUAGGCGGCGUGGCAAGUCAGAUGUGAAAUGCCGGGGCUCAACCCCGGAACGGCAUCCGAUACUGCCAUGCUAGAGAAGUGGAGGGGAGUCUGGAAUUCACGGUGUAGCAGUGAAAUGCGUAGAGAUCGUGAGGAACACUAGUGGCGAAGGCGAGACUCUGGACACUUACUGACGCUGAGGCACGAAGGGCCAGGGUAGCGAAAGGGAUUAGAUACCCCUGUAGUCCUGGCAGUAAACGGUGCACGUUUGGUGUGGGGAGAUUCGACCCUCCCUGUGCCGGAGUUAACGCGUUAAACGUGCCGCCUGGGAGUACGGCCGCAAGGCUA
This 371-nucleotide ribosomal RNA is filed under the name uncultured organism. Its description in RNAcentral is "partial 16S ribosomal RNA". It matches the Rfam family "Bacterial small subunit ribosomal RNA", at positions 527 to 896 of the family's 1533-position model. The record is from RNAcentral.